Monopterus albus (swamp eel) is the source of this 434-nucleotide long non-coding RNA. RefSeq lists it as uncharacterized. The record is from RefSeq and is a predicted model, not a curated record. Lineage: Eukaryota; Metazoa; Chordata; Actinopteri; Synbranchiformes; Synbranchidae. The transcript has 3 exons.
AGUCGGUUAGCCUAGCAAACAAGCAGCUACAGAAAAGCUAAUGCGGUGACAGGAAAUGGCGUAGAUGACUUAUCCAACGAUUUCUAACGCCUACGCUGUUCUGGGUCAGUUCCUGUUGCUUAAGAAAGACAGAGAUGUUCAGAGUGGCUCAAAGACACUGAAUCCUGGCUCAGUGUCUGAAGCAGAUGGUGUGACCCCUUCCUCUGAGACCCCCAGUGACCCUUCAGGCUCUGGCAGGUCCAGCUGUGACAUCACAGCCACCUGACUGCUGCCUGUUUACGGGGAAAGUUAAAAUACAAAUCUGUCUCAGCGCUGUUUAGGACACUGACUCCAAGACCUUUGAAACUUUUUUAGUGUUGCCUAUGUCAUUUACCCUCACCUCAUCCUGAGGACUGAACGUGAUCUGAGUCGACCCUCCACCCAAAUCCAGCAUC